This 844-nucleotide ribosomal RNA is filed under the name uncultured bacterium. RNAcentral describes it as "bacterial SSU rRNA". It matches the Rfam family "Bacterial small subunit ribosomal RNA", at positions 28 to 862 of the family's 1533-position model. The record is from RNAcentral.
GAUGAACGCUAGCUACAGGCUUAACACAUGCAAGUCGAGGGGAAACGAGAUCGAAAGCUUGCUUUUGAUGGGCGUCGACCGGCGCACGGGUGAGUAACGCGUAUCCAACCUGCCCACCACUUGGGGAUAACCUUGCGAAAGUAAGACUAAUACCCAAUGAUAUCUCUAGAAGACAUCUGAAAGAGAUUAAAGAUUUAUCGGUGAUGGAUGGGGAUGCGUCUGAUUAGCUUGUUGGCGGGGUAACGGCCCACCAAGGCAACGAUCAGUAGGGGUUCUGAGAGGAAGGUCCCCCACAUUGGAACUGAGACACGGUCCAAACUCCUACGGGAGGCAGCAGUGAGGAAUAUUGGUCAAUGGACGAGAGUCUGAACCAGCCAAGUAGCGUGCAGGAAGACGGCCCUAUGGGUUGUAAACUGCUUUUAUAAGGGAAUAAAGUGAGUCUCGUGAGACUUUUUGCAUGUACCUUAUGAAUAAGGACCGGCUAAUUCCGUGCCAGCAGCCGCGGUAAUACGGAAGGUCCGGGCGUUAUCCGGAUUUAUUGGGUUUAAAGGGAGCGUAGGCCGGAGAUUAAGCGUGUUGUGAAAUGUAGAUGCUCAACAUCUGAACUGCAGCGCGAACUGGUUUCCUUGAGUACGCACAAAGUGGGCGGAAUUCGUGGUGUAGCGGUGAAAUGCUUAGAUAUCACGAAGAACUCCGAUUGCGAAGGCAGCUCACUGGAGCGCAACUGACGCUGAAGCUCGAAAGUGCGGGUAUCGAACAGGAUUAGAUACCCUGGUAGUCCGCACGGUAAACGAUAGAUGCCCGCUGUUGGUCUGAAUAGGUCAGCGGCCAAGCGAAAGCAUAA